CCUACGGGAGGCAGCAGUGAGGAAUAUUGGUCAAUGGGCGGAAGCCUGAACCAGCCAAGUAGCGUGCGGGAUGUAGGCCCUACGGGUCGUAAACCGCUUUUGCACGGGGAUAACACCCUCCACUUGUGGAGGUCUGCAGGUACCGUGCGAAUAAGGGCCGGCUAAUUCCGUGCCAGCAGCCGCGGUAAUACGGAAGGCCCGAGCGUUAUCCGGAUUCAUUGAGCUUAAAGGGAGCGUAGGCGGGCGUUCAAGUCAGCUGGAAAAUCGCGCGGCUCAACCGCGCCCCGCAGUUGAAACUGGACGCUGUGAGUUCACAACAGGCAGGCGGAAUUCGUGGUGUAGCGGUGAAAUGCAUAGAUAUCACGAGGAACCCCGAUUGCGAAGGCAGCCUGCCGGGGUGCGACUGACGCUGAGGCUCGAAGGUGCGGGUAUCAAACAGGAUUAGAUACCCCAGUAGUC
This 459-nucleotide ribosomal RNA is filed under the name uncultured bacterium. RNAcentral describes it as "partial 16S ribosomal RNA". It matches the Rfam family "Bacterial small subunit ribosomal RNA", at positions 338 to 795 of the family's 1533-position model. The record is from RNAcentral.